ACUACGGGGGGCAGCAGUGGGGAAUAUUGCACAAUGGGCGCAAGCCUGAUGCAGCCAUGCCGCGUGUGUGAAGAAGGCCUUCGGGUUGUAAAGCACUUUCAGCGGGGAGGAAGGCGUUAAGGUUAAUAACCUUGUCGAUUGACGUUACCCGCAGAAGAAGCACCGGCUAACUCCGUGCCAGCAGCCGCGGUAAUACGGAGGGUGCAAGCGUUAAUCGGAAUUACUGGGCGUAAAGCGCACGCAGGCGGUCUGUCAAGUCGGAUGUGAAAUCCCCGGGCUCAACCUGGGAACUGCAUUCGAAACUGGCAGGCUAGAGUCUUGUAGAGGGGGGUAGAAUUUCAGGUGUAGCGGUGAAAUGCGUAGAGAUCUGGAGGAAUACCGGUGGCGAAGGCGGCCCCCUGGACAAAGACUGACGCUCAGGUGCGAAAGCGUGGGGAGCAAACAGGAUUAGAUACCCUUGUAGUC
RNAcentral lists this ribosomal RNA (465 nucleotides) under uncultured Klebsiella sp. RNAcentral describes it as "bacterial SSU rRNA". It matches the Rfam family "Bacterial small subunit ribosomal RNA", at positions 338 to 795 of the family's 1533-position model. The record is from RNAcentral. Lineage: Bacteria; Pseudomonadati; Pseudomonadota; Gammaproteobacteria; Enterobacterales; Enterobacteriaceae.